UACAGAGGUCCCAAGCGUUGUUCGGAUUCACUGGGCGUAAAGGGUGCGUAGGCGGUCGGGUAAGUCUGUCGUGAAAUCUCCGAGCCCAACUCGGAAACUGCGUCGGAUACUAUUCGGCUAGAGGAAUGGAGGGGAGACUGGAAUUCUCGGUGUAGCAGUGAAAUGCGUAGAUAUCGAGAGGAACACCAGUGGCGAAGGCGAGUCUCUGGACAAUUCCUGACGCUGAGGCACGAAAGCUAGGGGAGCAAACAGG
Molecule: ribosomal RNA, 253 nt
Filed under: uncultured bacterium
Lineage: Bacteria
Description: partial 16S ribosomal RNA
Rfam family: Bacterial small subunit ribosomal RNA
Source: RNAcentral